RNAcentral lists this long non-coding RNA (519 nucleotides) under Salmo trutta (river trout). RNAcentral describes it as "lncRNA (ENSSTUG00000038069.1)". The record is from RNAcentral. Lineage: Eukaryota; Metazoa; Chordata; Actinopteri; Salmoniformes; Salmonidae.
UACGACUCAGUCCUGGCCAGUGUCUGUUAGCUUCCAUUGCUUCUGACCACCAGUUGAGGGGCACGACUUCCACAUUUCGCCUGCUAGCGCUGAUAUCGCGGCUACACUGGCACGAUCAGUCUUUUCCAUAGAGACACAUUCAAAGCAGCGUGGUGCUGAAGUGUUGAACGGAGGGCUGCUAUGCUAACAGAGAUAGCUGUUAACUCCUUCACUGACAAAUGCAAUGUCUUUGUAUAGUAGGCAAUGUGAUCCCCUUUUAAAAACUGCAUGAAAGGCUGUAGAGAGAAAUGCUGUCUAAUCUCAUCUAGAAAUUGAAAGAACACUAUUGGCUGUGCACAGAUGCAGUCAUAUUUUCCCCAAAUCUUGAUGGAUGUUGUCUUUUCUUUAGGCGUCACAUCGAUCAGAGCCCGAAGUCGCAGUCCAGGAGCUUGUCAAACCCUCCAACACUCCUGUCUCUCAAUCAGAAGCUACCAUCCUCCCCAACCCUUUCAAGCACUACCUGGUUUUGACUUCUGUUUC